GAACAGAGAACAGAACAGGAUGAGGGA
Molecule: non-coding RNA, 27 nt
Filed under: Cricetulus griseus (Chinese hamster)
Lineage: Eukaryota; Metazoa; Chordata; Mammalia; Rodentia; Cricetidae
Source: RNAcentral